AUCAGGGGUAAACCUGUGGAACUCGAACGAGCGAACGGGGAGAUUCAAUGUUCUCCGUCGGGUCCGCGGAGGGGCGCUGACGUCGCACGUUCGCGUGCGGCGCUCGUCUYUUCGUGCGAUUCGCGGAGUGCGUGCACUCCUCCCUUAGUAAAACACCGCGACCCGUUGCYGUGUGGGUCGAACGCGCCGUGCGGAUGUCCCGCCUCGAUAUUCGAGGUGGAUCCGCGGCGUCGCGGCUCACGGGCGACGGUAAAGAACGAGGUUCGCGUCCGCCAUUGGCGUCCUCGGCGCGGCGGCGGCUCUCCUCGCAUCGUCUCGGCGCGCAAGCGUCGCGGCGGUCGAGCGAGGUCCGCGUCUGCUGCGUCAGCAAGGACGGGACGCGUCCCGGUCGGCGGUGGUUUGUUUCGGGCACUCACAGGACCC
RNAcentral lists this ribosomal RNA (423 nucleotides) under Hydropsyche ovatus. Its description in RNAcentral is "eukaryotic LSU rRNA". The record is from RNAcentral. Lineage: Eukaryota; Metazoa; Arthropoda; Insecta; Trichoptera; Hydropsychidae.